GAUGAACGCUGGCGGCGUGCCUAAUACAUGCAAGUCGAGCGAACAGACGAGGAGCUUGCUCCUCUGACGUUAGCGGCGGACGGGUGAGUAACACGUGGAUAACCUACCUAUAAGACUGGGAUAACUUCGGGAAACCGGAGCUAAUACCGGAUAAUAUAUUGAACCGCAUGGUUCAAUAGUGAAAGACGGUUUUGCUGUCACUUAUAGAUGGAUCCGCGCCGCAUUAGCUAGUUGGUAAGGUAACGGCUUACCAAGGCAACGAUGCGUAGCCGACCUGAGAGGGUGAGCGGCCACACUGGAACUGAGACACGGUCCAGACUCCUACGGGAGGCAGCAGUAGGGAAUCUUCCGCAAUGGGCGAAAGCCUGACGGAGCAACGCCGCGUGAGUGAUGAAGGUCUUCGGAGCGUAAAACUCUGUUAUUAGGGAAGAACAAAUGUGUAAGUAACUAUGCACGUCUUGACGGUACCUAAUCAGAAAGCCACGGCUAACUACGUG
This 497-nucleotide ribosomal RNA is filed under the name uncultured bacterium. RNAcentral describes it as "partial 16S ribosomal RNA". It matches the Rfam family "Bacterial small subunit ribosomal RNA", at positions 28 to 507 of the family's 1533-position model. The record is from RNAcentral.